UGGGCACUGAGCCUGCCACACACAGCUGCUCCGGAAAUGCCUGUGAAUACGGAAAGGAUUAUCACCAGAUGAUCCGGGAUAAUCUCAGCACCUCAAGGUCCACAGCCGUAAUCACAUCCGCGAAGUGCCUUUGCCAAGUAAGGUGAUACAACCACGGUGCGGGGAAUGAGGACAGGGAAGGAGAGGUGAGAGGAGCAUUAUGCUGCCUAGCCCACUCAGGCUCAGAAACAGAGAGGUGCGUUGACUGCCCCACCUCUCCCAGCUGCGGCUGCUGAAGCUGGUUUGAUGCCAAGUCUUUCAGGCUGCAGAAUCUGAGCUUUCUCCCUUGCGGCCAGUGUAAACAUCCGGAGUUUCCAGAUCCCUUCCCAGGAGCCUGCAGAGAAGAACACACCAGAUUCUAGAGAUGAAGAUGUAUUUGUAUUCACCAGACCAUCUGAUGAUGUUUCACUUCUGUUUCUCAACACCUCCUUGACUAUUCUGUCCCCUAGAGGAGAGAGAAGGUCUGGGAAAAUCUUUGCCUGAAACUAAGAAGCACAAUCUAUCCUCCAAAAGUUGAAAAAAUUGGGCUACGAAGUUUUGCCUCAUCUGCCAUAUUCAUGUGACCUCUUGCCAAGCAACUACCAUUCUUCAAGUAUCUCGGCAACUUUUAGAGGGAAAACACUUCCACAACCUGCUAGAUGCCAAAGGUGCUUUUCCUAAAGCUCAUCAAAUCUGGAAGCAUGGGUGUUUACGCUACAAGAAUAAACAAACUUAUUUCUCAUCAUUGACAAAAUAUGUUGAUUUUAAUGGUUCCUAAUUUGAUUAAUAAAGAUAUGU
Tupaia belangeri chinensis (Chinese tree shrew) is the source of this 816-nucleotide long non-coding RNA. RefSeq lists it as uncharacterized. The record is from RefSeq and is a predicted model, not a curated record. The transcript is spliced from 3 exons. NCBI's taxonomy places the organism in Eukaryota, Metazoa, Chordata, Mammalia, Scandentia, Tupaiidae.